RNAcentral lists this ribosomal RNA (519 nucleotides) under uncultured bacterium. RNAcentral's name for it is "partial 16S ribosomal RNA". It matches the Rfam family "Bacterial small subunit ribosomal RNA", at positions 355 to 860 of the family's 1533-position model. The record is from RNAcentral.
UAGGGAAUCUUCCACAAUGGACGCAAGUCUGAUGGAGCAACGCCGCGUGAGUGAAGAAGGCUUUCGGGUCGUAAAACUCUGUUAUUGAAGAAGAACGUGCGUGACAGUAACUGGUCAUGCAGUGACGGUAUUCAAUCAGAAAGUCACGGCUAACUACGUGCCAGCAGCCGCGGUAAUACGUAGGUGGCAAGCGUUGUCCGGAUUUAUUGGGCGUAAAGCGAGUGCAGGCGGUCUUUUAAGUCUGAUGUGAAAAGCCUUCGGCUUAACCGAAGAAGGGCAUCGGAAACUGGGAGACUUGAGUGCAGAAGAGGAGAGUGGAACUCCAUGUGUAGCGGUGAAAUGCGUAGAUAUAUGGAAGAACACCAGUGGCGAAGGCGGCUCUCUGGUCUGUAACUGACGCUGAGGCUCGAAAAGCGUGGGUAGCAAAACAGGAUUAGAUACCCUGGUAGUCCACGCCGUAAAACGAUGAGUACUAAGUGUUGGAGGGUUUCCGCCCUUCAGUGCUGCAGCUAAACGCAU